RNAcentral lists this long non-coding RNA (268 nucleotides) under Brassica rapa (field mustard). RNAcentral's name for it is "long non-coding RNA (BRAP_LNC007784)". The record is from RNAcentral. Lineage: Eukaryota; Viridiplantae; Streptophyta; Magnoliopsida; Brassicales; Brassicaceae.
UCUAUUUUCUGUGUAGAGAAAUUUGUGCCUCAACCCAAAGUAACGAUUCUAUCUAUCUAUUUGAGAGUAUCUCUCGGAUCAAUAUCCAAAUUGAUAAAAAAAUAUUGUUUUUUUUUUCCUUUCCAUAUAUACCAUUAGAUCUAUGCAAUGAUCUACCAAUUCUUGAGAAACCCUCCAAAGAAAUUAUCCAUGUUUGCAAAAAGUGAUUAAGUGAGAAAAAUAUUCGGAUUCAUUGGAAUUCGUGAAUGUUCGCAAACCUGGAUCGCGG